UGAGCAGAAGAUCUACAACAACAAUAAUAGUCGAGACAAGAGUCAGAAUGGUAGAGGUCGUUCGAAGUCCAGAGGCAAGCUGUUCUGUAGGUAUUGCAAGAAGAAAACUCAUGUCAUUGAGGUUUGUUGGAAGCUGCAAGAAGAAAACGCAUAGGCUAUCUUUCCAUCAAGACGUGCAGUCUUCAAUCUGAAAUAUUCAUAUGUAGUUGAUGACAUGCUUGGUGAUAUGGCUGAUCUUCUCAGACUCGGAGGAGCUACCUGAAAUAAUGGAAUCAUGCAGCUUCUUGCUGCAAGUCAACUUGAGAAACCUUGGAUUCACACAUGGUACGUAUCGUGGAAGUCUCUUUAUGGUCCGGUCGUUCAGCUCUAUGCUGAUGAGUACAGGGACUUCUUAACCCACCAAAUUUCUUUGGUAUUACCACAUUGGCAUUCGAACCAUACAUAUCAAGAGUUCUGAUAUGCAUAAGUUGUAUAAUGGUUCUAGGAAGAUUCUCCAAAUGUACAGAGCCUAAAAGCACAAUAUGUUGUAGAAACUUCAUAUCGUCGAUGUCGUCUCGCAGCCCUCUAAUCCCAAGUAUCUUAGAUGCCUCAACUGACAUAGGGAACCAACCAACCUAUCACAAUCUCCACCAUUAAUACAAAAUACCCUUAGCAUAAAGAAACUAUUCAACGAAUCACUUAGGUCAAAGUUGAUCUUGGAAUUUAUAAAUAAUGUUCUUACGCACUCUUGUUUUUGUAGAGCAGCCAAUCCAGGUACCAAACUAGUUGGUCCUAUGGACAAGCGAUGAAUAAGACUAUCGUUACGACCACUUGCAACUUGCAUGUCCUGCACCACAAGCGACUCUUCUCUUGCCAUAAAUUCAACAAAGGAGCGCACCACAUCAUGCAUUUCGCAAUGGUAUGCAGCUAAAGAAUUUUCCGGUUCUAUAAGAUUCCUGGUGACUAACUCCUGGAAGUGCUCGGCUGCUAUUUCUUCUAGUUGGUCAUCAUGUGAACUACUUUGGUCCGUGUAAGGUUGGAUGAAUCCCUCACUAAUCCACAUGGGAAUAACAAUACGCCUCCGAAUACAUGUACCUUUUGGAAAAAAUGAACAGUAAAGGAAGCACUGCUUCUGCUGGGAAGACAAAUCCUCGUAACUCAAAUAGAUUCGCCUGUCCAGCUCCUUGGGCAAUCCAGCUACUGACCAUGCAUGAUGGUUCAAAACAGCCUCCCACUCACGCUCACUUCUAGACCUCGUACUUAGCAAUCCUCCCAUCACUUUGACAGCAAGUGGUAAGCCAUCACAUUUUAUGACAAUUUUCAUCCCAACAUCUCUUAGGUAAUCAGUUCCAACUACCUGUCAAUAAUCGAGACAAAUGAAUUCUGUGCUUGUGUGAGUGCAUUUUUAUUUAAAUUAACAUGAAGAUGCCAUAGUUACGAUUUAUAAUUAACAACUAAUAUGAAUUCUUUUCACUCUCUACUCUGGAAGAAUAAUAUGCUAAGGUUCUAUUUGGGGUUGGAUGUAAGCACAUCAAUGAUUGGUCUGUUGAGGGUGCUGGGCGAGUGGGCCUGGCGUUCUGCUUUUGUCAAAACCAAUUUUAAAAACCAAUAGCGUUCUGCUUUCCUUAAUUAAUUAUUCCAUGCAAUUUAAGGAAAAAAAUGUUUGUGCUUUUACAUCUGAAGUGCACUCGAAUUGAGACAUGCAAACUGUAAAUACGUACGGUGCCCCAAGGACCAUUUCUGCAUAUAUUACUAAUUAUAGGCUUUUUUUGAGCUUCUAUGUAUGUGCUAAAAAAUAUAAAUCCUAUAAAUUCUUAUAAAAAAAGGAAACAUAAUGCCAUUAAUUAUAUAUGUAGGUUCUCGUCAUCAUUGACAAAAACAGCCAUGUUUUUUCUAAAAAAAUUACCCACCUUUGUUAUUAUGAAAAAACCAAUCUUGCUCAUUAAUUACCCAGCUCAGUGACUUUUAAAAAUGACCCACAAUAAAUAUGUAACUAAAUUAUCCAUCUAAUCCCUCAGUCAUGUAAUACAAGAUAUCUAAGUGUUCAAAAUUUAUCUCCAAUACAAGGCAUUAUUGUAGGUACAUUUGGAUGGUGGUCAUUUAAUUCUUUCUAUAAUUAACAACAUAAGGGUGACUGAUUGGUGGAUUAUUAAAAAAUAAGUUCCUUGUUAUUUGCAAUUACCAUUAACACAAGGGUACAUGCGUCUUUUGAUGGCGGAGAGAGAAUCAAUCACUACGCUAAAAAUGAUUUGUGCUUGCACACGGAAAUUAAUGUGCUGGCAGGUAGGUUGGCACCCACUACCACAAAGAUGCCAAAGGCCGGCCCGCCAGCACAGAUGGAGGUGCAUCUGUGCUGGGUUAGGUGGCCCACCACCACAGAUGCCGCACAAAUAUUCUCACGGAUAGCGUUUUCCUCAUCCAAUCUUCCAUUUGGAGCCUGCUUGAGAGGAGCUCGGGAAAAGUUCCAAAAACACUGAAUACUAGGGGAGGUUUUGUUAUUGAAUUUUUCAAGGUGAUUUGUAAGUUUCCAUGGUUUUAAGUAAUUUUAAACAUGGCUAUUGGAAUUUUUUUAUGAUCUAACUAUAUUCAUAAAAAAACACAUUCGUGGAUAGAAAUAGAAAGACUUGUAAGGACACAUCUCAAAUCAUGGAAAUUGAUGAAAUAUUCACAUGUUUCCUAGGUUUAUCUGUAAUUCUAUUUACAUUUCGAUUUAAAUAAAUUAUAAUAACAUUUAAACUUGAUCCGUAAAUCAUGAUAAUUGGUAUUGAAUAAUUUUGCCAUUAUCCAAAGUUAAGAAAACAACAUAUUUUGAGAUAGUAGAACAACACAUGCUUCACAAAAUGGAGACACACCUCCUCAUAACCCUAUAACUCAAGAGGAGUUCCAAGGUAGAGUAACAUGUGAAUUAACUAGCCAAAAUAUUUACUCCUUCCGUUCCUUAAUAUAAGCCAUAUAGUUUUUAGAACUAAUAUUAACACACGGCUUGGGAGGAAAAAUCUGUUGCUUUUGUACGUGAAUGGCACUUGGGGAAGGCAUGUGCUAUGUAUGGUUGGAAGGUUUUCAAACUAAUCGGUUCUUUUUUCUAGAGUUUUUGUUCCACAUGCGUGGGAAGCUGGCGUGGGAGCUGAUACGUACGUAUAUUUUGUGAAUUUUCUUUAGAAAUCUAUAUGGCUUAUAUUAAGGAAUGGAGGGAGUAUAUUUUAUAUCAAAAUAUACUUUUUAGGUGCACUCUAACAUGUAUUUUCAUGCAUAGAAAUUUAAAACAUGUUUGAACUCGUCUAGCAAUUCUUUAAAAAUAUUUUAGAUUUGACGAAAAAUAUGUGCUAGCAAGCUAUAAUACCACUCGCUAGCACAGACGGUCUCUGCUGGCAAGAGGUAUUAUAGCCCGCCAGAACAGAUCACUCCCUUAUAAGGCGCUAGGGAGGCACCAAAAUUUUCCGAGUCCCGGAGCGAAACUGAAUCACGCCAUGAGGCAACAAAAUUUUCACGCCGUGUCUGCCACCGUUCUAUCCGCUCCUUUGUCAACGACUGCACUUGACCCCGCUCGUGUGCUGCUACCUUGUCCUCUCUGCCCUCAGCUGCAUGGGCCUUCGACUGUGUGUCGCUGCUUCGUCCUCCCCGCUCUCGACCGCGCACCACCAUCGUCACUUGCGCCCUCUGCUUCUUUCUCGAGCUCACCUCUACUCCCGACCAGACACGCACCUCACUCAUCUCUGGCCAUGCCCCGAGCGCCACUGCGCCUCCAAGCUCACACCUCCAGCCCCCUCGGCUCCCGUAAGUACAACAACUACCUAGAACAUCACCACCGAUUCAUAUAGUUGUGCACAUCUAGGGAGCAUCAAAUCAGUCGAUGAUCACAAAUUAUGUGAUCGUUGGGGCAAUGGCUAGUUCUUGGAGUUGGAGAUAUAAAUACCCCAUUGCCUAGCCAUUUCAUAUGGGUUUGAGCUUGUAGAAGCUAUAGGCUUGGUGUCCACAUAUACACAAGUGCUCUAUAUAUCCAAAAAAAUGCUAAAGAGAAUAUUAAGGCAAUUAGUAUAAGACUUAGAUUUGGAUUAGUGCUAGCUUAGGCCUAUUACCGCAUUGCUUUAGAUAUUAGCCCAAAGUCAGGUGAGGUUUGCACACCUCUUUGGUACUAGUGGUUGCGCGCACCAACCAUUGUAAAUCUGAGGCUUGUAAGUCUUGUGAGAUCCUCCAACCACGUUUUGUGGAGUGGUUGCUGGUGCAUGUGAAACGAAGGAGAGGCCCCUGGCCAAAGCUCUACCAUGUGAAGGAUGGUGUGGAGAAUCCGAGAGAGGCUAAGCGGAGAUCCACUUGCACUUGGGAAAGGCUCACAUCGGGUUUCCUAUGGAGUUAUUUGACAGAGGAGUUUAUACCCUUUUGUGGGCAAUCCCUUGAGAGGGGUUCCAACAAUGAGGACUAGUGGAAAGCUUUGCUUUCCGAUAUCUCGGUAAAAAUUAUCGUGUCGCCGUGCAGGCAGUUUGCAUUCUCCACCCCUUUACCUUCCACAUUCUUUAUUGCACUUUACUUUCUAUGUUUAAAUUUGCUAGAAUUGCCAUGUCUAGUUUAUAGGAUUGGAAUCUAGGGUGCAAAACUCUUUUGUGGUUGAGAUAGCGACACAUAGAAAAUUCUAGUGCACAUCUAGUUAGAAAUUGAAAUAUAUUUUUAUAUGUGCUUAGAACCUUAAUUUUUAGAACACCCAAUUCACACCCCUCCCCCCUCCUUAGCUACAGGGUGUCAGGGUCCCUUAAAUAAGCACCAGCUAGAAAAAAGAAUUGUGCUGGCGGUUAUUGUAACCAUACCGCCAUCACAACAAGCACUUGCCAGCACAAAUAGGCAUUUGUGCUGGUAGAAGGUUGCUGCAGGUGUGGAACCCGCAAGCACAAACCUCUUUUGGCUGCCAACAUAAAGCUUUGUAGGUGCACACCACAUCAUCCCCGAGACGCUGAUGGUCACGUGUGGACUGAAUUAAUUAGUCAGCAAUAGGUGCACAUGAUUUGAGGUUACUUUAUGUUUUUCUUAAUAACGCAUGGGUAAUUUUACAAUUAUGUAUACAGUACCGAAGUGAAUAUGCUUGUCGCUUAGAAUGACUGUACUUGAGACUUGACUCGCUUCAACGAGACGAUCUACAGGCCAAAGCAGAGCAAACUACAAGAAGUUAGAUAAAAAGCCAAUUGACUAGCCUGCUCAUCAAAUUAAACUGCUCAUCACUGAUUACUGAUGGGUUUGUCGCAACUGAUGUUUUUUUAUAUGUGUUCUCUCAAGCUCUGUCAGCAUUUACGAACAGAGCCAGCUCAUCUGAAUUCUACUGGAGCAAUGCCCCAAUGGAACUAGCAGAAUAUGCAUGUCAGCAAGAUGUGGUAAAAAGCGAGAAAAACUUUACUGAAAAUAUGAAACAAAACGAGGAGGACAGCAUAAUAUUCCUAUUCUCAGCUGGGGCGUCUACGUCGACGAUGCUGACAAGGAAGGUGUUGAGGAUGUCCUCCAUGUCGUAGGACGCCUCCCUGACCUCGCUAGCCCACAGCCAGACUUGUGGAUCCAGCUGCUCUGGCGGCACCUCACCCACCUUGCUUAGAGCCGUCUCCGCACUUUCGAGCUCAUGUUUCAGAGACUCGAUCUUUUCAGGCAGGCCCUUCUGCAGCUUGUACUCCUCAUGGAGCAGCUCGCCGAGCUUGCCGAUGACGCUGCCCACUGCCCCGGCCACAAGAUCCAUGCCUAGCUAGCUCUUGAGAUGAAAAAAUAAGCUUGGCAUGUGCAGAGCUAAUAUAACAUGUAAACACCUGCAAGCAUACAAGGCCAUUGACAGUAAACACGUGAUAGAAAUAUGUAGAAAUAUCGCUGUAUAGACGGUGUAUACAUGUAGGAAGGAAGUGACGAAAAUGAAGAUUUUAAUGCCAAACACAUAGCUGAAAUUAAAGGUUCCUGUAAUAAACACAUAUCAAAUAUGGAUGAAAAAGUGAUCACAAUCGAAUAAAGAUAGCUAAGUACUGGUGGACUAGUAGGUUAAUUACUAACUGGAGGGACGGGGCUAAUGAAAAUGAAGAUUCUAAUGCCAAACACAUAGCUCAAACUGAUGACUAUGGACUCACCAAGUUGACACAAGUGCAAUCAAAUAUCAAUAUAUAUGUGUAAGAACGGUAGCAAGGUGGUAGCAGUGUGUCACUGAUACUAGAUCUAGAUCAUAUGAAAUGGGAAGCCACCAGAAAAGAAAAAAUAAGGCGACUAAGGACAAUUCAUUCAAAAGAAAGAAAGAAAUCUAGAUCGAGGCCAUUAAGCAAGAAUUAUAGAUAAGAUAUGGGGAGCCAAAUUAAAGUCACGCACCUUGCUGGUUCAGAUCUUCGAUUGUGCUUGAGGAAAGAAUAAAGGAUUGAUGGGUAGUUGAGUUCAAGAUGAAGGAUUGUACUCCACCUGGAGCAGCUCUCCGAGCUUGCCGAUGACCCUGCCCACCGCCCCGGCCACAAGAUCCAAUAUCCUCUGCCGGCCAGAAUAGGAUGUUGGCCGCUCCAAUGAUGACUUAUCAGCUGGACUACAAGACAACAGACAAGUCAGACAAGAAGAAGGUGGAGUCCAAGAUGCGCCUCCAAGCUUGUCCAAGAUGCGCCUCCAAUGGCUUGGUGCCAACCAGCUAGCAUAAGGUAGUACUCCAAAACUUGUCGUUUUCUUUCCAGUAGUUAUCGGAUCAGCUCAUCAUCUGUCACAACUCUGUUCUCUGUCGUUUUCUUUCCAGUAGUUAUACUGCAGCCGCGGCUGACAUGUAUAGAUCACAAAAAGGCACAAGAUGUUGGAGAAUCUGUGCAGUACUAUGUCACCGGAAAUGAAGACCAAAGUGAGCAAACGGAUCCAUGGUGCGAAAUUAAGGCCGAACUGAAGUAGUAGCAUCAGUUUUUACAUGACGCUACUUCGUUGCUAAACAGAUGAGCUCCCGCCCAUCUAGCAUUCAGUACUACUUCACAGCCAACAUCUAGUUGUUCUACUCUUGUAGAUUAACAAACGAAUUAUCUUCCACAAGUAUAGGAAACGAAUUAUCUUUCAUAAAAGUAUUUCAAAAUUAAUAUUACUCCGAAUGGGUCGUUUUGGCUCUUCAACUAGAUAUACACUAUGUGCAGAUGCAUAAUAAUAUCUAUGAUCUUAGAAAGGUUAAAAAUGAUCUACAAUUUGAAACGAAGGGAGUAAUAUGAAAUAAAUAAAAGAAACCAGAGGCCCUACACCCCUGCUGAAGCAGGGUAGUAUCGCUCAACUUUUUCGUCAGAUAUCCAUUCUGUUUGGUUCGUUUCUUCCGUGUUUCAAGCAAGUGUACACAAGAACUUAGGAGAGCAGAAGUUUGCGCGGUUGCCUCUUUAGCAGACGUCAGAAUGUCUGAGUGAGGCGAAACAGACAAUUGUUGGGGAUCCAAAAAAAGGUUAUCACCCUCAACCGUGUUUGAGUCUUAACUCGCCUGGCCAUCGCGUAAAAGCCUCUAGCUUCGGACAGCUGCUGCGGUACGUUAGCUUCGGGUAGGACCGAAACCGGCAUUCUCUCCGAAGUUAAGGAACUGACUAACGGGUAAAGCAACCUCGCUGUGAAGAUUCCUUGUCUUUUGUGUGCAGGAGGAAAGGUGAAUCACCUCGUCAUAACAACUAGCCAACAAAGCAAAAGACAGGCGAAAGCACGGGAGAGCUCCCCACAUGAAGCCUCAGCGAAGCCGACUGCGCCUGAGCUUCGGACGGCCAAAGCUACCGAGGUUACGCCCGACUUCGGUGACGAGGUCAAGGUGCAUGGGGACGUGAACGACAUAUGAGCGUGAUUUGCAUGACCUUGUGAGAGCGCAAAUCACGAGGCUGUCAAACGGCAAAGAAAAUAUGAUGUACUAAAGAUCAAAUUGUAAAGUAUAUUUUGGAAAUGUAGUGAUUGAGUAGGGGCAAAUGUGUAAUAGGAAAUGUUGUCUCAGGCACUGUAAAAGGAGGGAUUCACCCCGUGUAAGGACUUACUUGCACUGCAUUUAUGAAAUAACCGCUGAACAGUUGAGGAAUUAAUUUGUGGAUUCGUUUCGCCUGCUUUUUGACCGAAGUUAAGUGAUUUGGAUCCUACUGACUCCCAGAUACUACUAGAAAACUCGGUAUUAGUACCGAUUCGUAGGGUGCAUAUUUUCCGAAAAUGCAUCCAGAAUUAAUCCGUCGAGAUAAAGGGGGUCUUUUAUCACGGAUCCCAAAACCAAGACAUAAGAUCCCCUUUUAGUCCCGGUUGGCAUUAACAACCGGGACUAAAUGGUUUUGCAAAAAAAAUUACAAAAAUAAAAAAAAUAUCGAACCCAUUUGUCACAUGAAAUAUGCGCGUGCGCGGUCCGUGGGAUUCGAACCCAUGAACUCAAGCCUCGCGUGUAGCUUCCUUGCCAUCCCACCUACACAACACAUAUAUCUAUAUAGGGGAUGCUAUUCUUUUGUAUUAACUCAUGGAGGACCCUUUAGUAACACCAACCGGGAUUAAAGACCUUAUUUAAUCCCGGUUGGUAAUACCAACCGGGAUAAAAAGGUUCGAGGGAUUUAGUCCUUUCCCAGCCACACAUGAGGGACCCUUUUUUAUCCCGGUUGGAAACACCAAUGUGGCGGAACCACCUCGGAUUAGCUUGAUUAAGCAGGGUUAAGCCGCUUAACAUGCGACACUCCUGCCUAAACCGAGUUAAUACGAAGUGCCGUCGGAUUUUCCUCCGAUUUAACCACUUAAACAGGAUCGAGUCUAGCAAACCCACACGAAGGUGAGUGGUUACAGAGAAUACAACGAGUCCACUGAGUUAAACAAGUUUUACCCAUUUAGUUCGGUCAUAAAAUCCAACAUCAAGGUUUUACAAGGUUCAAAAGACACAACAGAGAAAAACACUAGCGGAAGACUUCGUCGGGGUCGGACAUCCCUGGUGAGGCCAACCGGGACAUCACUGGUUCCUCUCCUCGCCGUCCGAGGAAGGAUCCCACUCGACCGUCCAGCCUGGCGGAAGCUGGGGCGGCCAAGCACCAACAAGAGAGGGGUCGGGAGCAGCAACCUCACCUGAAAAACAGGAGCCACAACAAGGCUGAGCUACUAAGCUCAACAAGACUUAACCGAUAGGAGUAAACUACUCCUCCUUCUAGACAUGCAGGGCUUUUUGGCUGAGGGGUUUGUUUGCCAAAAGCACUAAGUAACAACCCUAUUUUCCAAGUUUUAGCUCCGGUUCUAAGUUCAUUAGCCGGUCUAGGUUUUACAACCUAUUCUAAGCAAUCAUAGAGCCAAACAAGAUGUGUAGAUAUAUCAACCAAACAUUGCCAUCAUCAGAUUCCUCAUUUACUCAGGGUGACAUAGCGAUCAAGUAAUCUCAAACUGUGAGAGGCAGACGAAUCGAUUCGAGUUCUUUAACCAUGCAUGGUGAACCUAGCCUCACGACAUCCGCACACCCGAAGGUCGCUUCCUGUGUCGGCCUUCCCCAUUAAUCCCCUAACCCGUGUCGGGUCCAUUUCCUUUGGUGCAAGGUUCCACAGACCCGGCCUCUGCCGUUCUGUGACCACGCUUGCCACCACGUGCGACAACCAGCAGGGGAAACUCCGUUCCAAGAACAAUGGGGCGACCGCUCACGUCUAGGUUCAAUCCGGUACUAGGCUUCCUCAUCCCAUACUAAGUAUGAGGCUAGUACUUUCAAACACUUGAUCACGAACACCACCACUGUCGGGCCUUAUCAAGAUUUCAUAGACAGACAGGGCGACCAUCCGACCACCAAAGAGUUACCAAAACCCUGCCCCGUCCAUCGUCCUUAUAGUUAUAACAGGAGAGUAAACAUGCAACUCCUACAACUCGCAAGUGACAGAAAAUCACUCGACUUUUACCGUCUCCUAGUUAAGCAAUGCAACUACGCGGUCCAACAGCUAGUGCUCAGGUCAUUGGGACAACUAAGUCAUGCAUCUAGGGUUUCACACAACUCCUAUACGUAAAUGCACAAGCAUGUUACAGAAGGCAUGCGCAAGUCUGGCAAAACACGUAGGAUUUUCAUGCAACCGGGGCUUGCCUUCAAGCAAGGAGGACGGGAACUGCUCGACUUCGGGGGCGACUUCGGCUUCGGAGGACAGGAGCUCGGCUACAGCUUCCUCUUCUGGCGCCGGGUGAAGCUCGUAGAAGCCGUCGGCGAGGUGCAGCUCUACACGAAUGCAAUGCACAAGGGUUAGCAUAGAUAGUUAUUCAACAGCAACACUGGCUUGCCUGAGCCCAGAAACUCGCGACAAGGAGCAGGAGGUUAUGGUGGUUCAAGAGAGCUGAUGAUGAUCAAGAGGUAAGGGUAGGAAAGGAACUUAUGAUCUGAUUCUUGAACUAGAGGAUGUGGGAAAAACUAGGGAUCCUCAGACGCAAGCGCUGAAGGGUUCCUAAGUUUUACACAUACACCCUCGGGUUGAAGAAAAAGACCACAGCCGAACCCUUGGGCGAGGCGGAUAAGGGUCGGCGGAACAGAUAGGGUCGGGCGAGACGGAACCGGGGUCGGGCGGAUAGGAGGGGUCGGGCGAGGCGGACUGGGGUCGGCAACUCACCUUCUUCCUGAAAGGAAAGCUUGGGGUCGGGAAGAGGCAGACUUGGGCGGAGGGACUAAGGUUUGAACAGAAGCUAAGACCGGAAAUGCUCCGGCGGCGGCGCUGCUUCUUGCGGAUCACAAGAGAGCUUUGACGCAGUACGGAGGAGCAAGCUGCUGGGUGACUUGGAGAAAAUUGAGAGAGAAUCUGAGAGAAGAACUCCUCAAGAACUGGGUGGGUGGCGCUAUGAGCUUGAGCAGAGAGCGAGAGAAGGCUGAAGGCAACAAGGGCGGAGGGAACUCCGGCGACGGGGGCAUUCCUUUUAUAGCUGCUGGAGCAGAGGAAAGGAAGCGGCGCGGGAGAGAGAGAAGGGAAGCGGCGCGAAGGCCGGGGAGAGGCAAUGGAGUGCUCUGCCGUGGCGGUGAUUGAGCGAAGAGGGCGGUGGUGCAGAACUCCGGGGGUGACGCCAGCGAUCAUUGCGUUCUGCCGUCAGGGCGGCGUAGGAGCGGGUAGACUGGUGGUUGAGAUUUGGCGGAAAGCGGGCGUCGCCGUGCGGAAGAUUUGAUAGAAGCGACCGGUUUAACGGCGCUAGAAUCGAGGGCGCACAGGUGAGAAGACAGGCGGACGCGGGCGCGCGGGCAAGCGCGGAACAACAGAUUGUUGGGCGGCUUCUGACAGAGCGGGGGAAAGGAGCUGUCGCGGCCGCGGUCGGGGUUGGCGGUGGAGGAAUCGUCGUGUAGCGGCGACCGGGCGGCGCGACUGUGGCUGAAGGGACGGAAAAGACGGGCGACAUCGGGCUCUGGGGCCGGGAUCUGGCGGCGUGAUGAUGGGCGCGGGAGGCGAGGCUCUGCAGAAAGGGGUGCAGAGGGGCUUCCGCUGCCAUUGGGGAAGGGGGCGCGAGAACCCACUCGGUCGCUUGCCAGAGACAAAACUGAGCGGCGGGCGUCGGAGAAGACGAGCCACGCGGCAGGAAGACUGUGAGGCGGCCAUGCAACUCGAGUGCGACUGUCACGGAGGAUCUGGGAAAAAGAUCUUGCGGGUCCACCGGUGGAGAGAACGGUGGUUGAGGAAGAUUAACAGGAUCCGACGGUGGGCUGUGCUUGCCGGGGUCGGGAGAGGAACGAAGCGGAGAGGGGUCGGAUCUCAGGGGUCGGGACCAGCCGGAUAGCGGAGCACUCGGUGCGGGAAAAAGCAAGGUAGAUGACUAGGAUCAAGGGCUCUGAUCAAGACUAUCUGGGAAGGUUUAGGGGUCGGUCGUUACAACCAAUCGGGAUAAAAAUGGUCCGAGGGCUUUAUUCUUUUUUCAGCCACCCGUGGGGGACCUUUUUAUCCCAGUUGGAGUUUUCAACCGGGACUAAAGGACCCCCUUUUAUCCUGGUUGCUUUAGUCCCGAGCGGUAAUACCAACCAGGACUAAAGGGUGACCUUUUAGUCCUGGUUGAUCUUACCAACUGGGAUUAAAGGGUCCCCUGCGUGUGCCUGAAUUUUUCAACCAGAACUAAAGGAUCUCCACGGGUGGCUGAUUUUUUGAACCGGGACUAAAAGGUUCCCUUUAGUCCCGAUUGCAAAUACCAACCGGGAGUAAAGUGUAGCGCACCCCCUUUUCGCCCGGGCUAAAAUUAAACCGAGACUAAAGGGGGUGGUAUCUAAAGUCAGUUCUCUAGUAGUGAGUGUUUGAGUACGAGCGAGGCUCGGACUCAACAACAAUCCUCAAUGCUUGAGUUUGGUUCUGGCACCUGCACCAGGUUACUUGUAGACACAAAUAUGUUGCUUUUUCUUGCUCUUGAUCACACAAAACACACACUUUGUAGACACAAAUGUACAAUACCUAGUCAAUUUAUAGUUACAAGUAGCCAACAAUCACCAACUAUAGUCAAUUUAUAGUUACAAGUAGCCAACAAUCACCAACUAUAGUCAAUUUAUAGUUACAAGCAUGCCGCUGCCACUACCACCACAAGUAGUUGCCUGCUUGUCGUCGACCACCGCCGCAGAUUCUUGUCGUCGACCACCACAAGUAUCUCCGGUUAUCCAGUUACUACUGACCAUCAAGGACUUGUCAAAGCAGCAUUCCACUCACGCUCUAGGCAUACAGAUAUAUUUGACAAUACGAUGCCCGUCUGCAUCUGUGCCUAGUCAAAUUAAAUGAAAGCUUUCAUCCCUGUUGACGGCACAAAUAUUUGACGAAUUAGCAACGAUGCAUGGAGAUUCCAUGGAUACAGACAAGGAAUAGGAGUACAAACAACAGAUGGGAAUCUAGAAACAAUUAACUUUCGGCAUAGAGGAAGAAUAAUGCGAGUUACCUGAACGCAUAGGCUAUCUUUCCAUCAAGACGUGCAGUCUUCAAUCUUCAUCUGAAUCUUCUUCGACGUAGUUGAUGUCAUGCUUGGUGAUAUGGCUGAUCUUCUCACACUCGGAGGAGCUACCUGAAAUAAUGGAAUCAUGCAGCUCCUUGCUACAAAUCAACUUGAGGAACCUUGGAUUCACACAAGGUAGGUAUCCAGGAAGUCUCUCUAUGGUGCCGUCCUCCAGCUCUAUGCUGUCGAGUACAGGGACACCUUGC
Molecule: long non-coding RNA, 13034 nt
Filed under: Setaria italica (foxtail millet)
Lineage: Eukaryota; Viridiplantae; Streptophyta; Magnoliopsida; Poales; Poaceae
Description: long non-coding RNA (SITA_LNC006348)
Source: RNAcentral